UUUGGGUUGAAAUAUGAUGAACACUGAAAACUAGAUGGAAUUGUGAAGAUCACAAGAUCCAACUCUGAUUUCACCCAGAG
Small nucleolar RNA from Monodelphis domestica (gray short-tailed opossum), 80 nucleotides. Ensembl annotates it as small nucleolar RNA, C/D box 19B. Lineage: Eukaryota; Metazoa; Chordata; Mammalia; Didelphimorphia; Didelphidae. The record is from Ensembl.